Molecule: long non-coding RNA, 612 nt
Filed under: Pan troglodytes (chimpanzee)
Lineage: Eukaryota; Metazoa; Chordata; Mammalia; Primates; Hominidae
Description: long non-coding RNA NONPTRT008134
Source: RNAcentral
CACUUGCCCGCCUCUACCAUUUACCCGCCCAGCCUGGAGCGUCCGGGCCGGCAAGUCCAGCGCCGGGGCCUCACUGUUUCCGCGUGUGAAGCGUUCGAAGACUGCCAUGGACCCGCGGCCGGAGACCGCAUCCGCCUGUAGCACUAACGCGUCCCGCAGCGCUGCGUAGCCGCACAGCACCACCGCAGGGCGCGGGCCCAGCCGCACUGUGAACACCCGGCCCCAGCGGCCGGAGAGCUACGGUACUCAGCAGGCCGGAGCACUCAUCCUUCCUGUCCUUCCUCAAGAUCAUAGAGUACAAACCCUCAGCUGUCUUCAUUCAGGAGGAGUUCUAGUCCCCAGCCCCACCUUCACGAAUCCAGAAUUCCGUCCCCCAAUUCCUGUCGGGAAUGGAGUGCGCGGUCCAGGCCUCCGGACUGCAGCUGCAAGUUCUCCAGCAAUGGGAGCAGCCUGGGCCGGGGAGGUAGGGACCCCCGCAUCUGAGCGCGGCACCCACCCUACCCCCACCACGCCGGCGCCAGCACCAGAAGCCACAACAGCAGCGCAGCGAUACCCGCGAUCAUCAUGCCUGCAAUUCUCCACGCCUGCACCCCUUCACCUCUAUUUGAUUUC